UCCCGCAUUCUCCAUACUGUUCUUCCUAUCCGCUAUCGUCCAUAAUUUUUAUUUCGUUGAUGUUUAGACCGAAACCGGUGCGUGUUACUGGAUUGGAAGAUGAGGUUCAACAUUAUAAUGGGGAUUGCUCGAGGACUGCUUUACCUCCAUCAUGAUUCGAGGCUGACAAUCAUUCAUAGAGACAUGAAAACCAGCAACAUCCUUCUCGACGAGGUAAUGAACCCUCGGAUUUCGGACUUUGGCAUGGCGAGGAUAAUGGGAGGGCAGGAAACAGAGGCCAACACUGUCAAAGUAGUUGGAACUUAGUAAGUAACCCAACAUUUCUCAUUCCUCUUUAACAUUUUUAUGAAUAAGUGAUUUCAUUUCUUAUACAAAAAGAGAAGCAAACAUAGCCAAAUAAUUAACUUACUGGAUCGUAAAUCCGUAUUGAUUCUUGCAGCGGCUACAUGUCUCCAGAGUAUGCGCUGGACGGGAACUUCUCAAUAAAAUCCGACGUAUUCAGCUUCGGAGUGGUCCUACUCGAGAUCAUCAGCGGGAAGAGGAACACCGGAUUCUACAAGUCGAACAAAGUGGUGUCCCUUCUUGGUCACGUAUGGGGGCACUGGAGAGAAGAGAAGGCGACGGAAGUGAUGGAUCAAUCUUUGUCCGAAACAUGUGUGGUGAACGAGUUCCUGAGGUGUGUAAACGUCGCACUGCUGUGCGUCCAGGAAGAUCCUAACGAUCGGCCGACGAUGGAAAAUGUUCUUUUCAUGUUAGGGAGUGAAGCAGCUAGCCUUGGCCGUCCGAAAGAGCCUGCAUUCACUAUCAGACGGGAAAUUUCGAGUUCUACUUCGAGUAGUAUAGUGGCGAUGGAGACUACUGUGGUGGAAGCAAGAUGACUCACAAUUUGUAUAUGAAAUUCUUUCGGUGCAUAUGAAAAUUGUGAAUCGACCAACAGAUUUCAAGUCUAUCUCCUUAACCACUCAGGCAUAUCGACCAAUUGAUUAUUUGAAUCUACACCUAGUCACACCUAUAGCAAGAUCACAUAGAUAAAAGCAUUGCAGGUCUGCCUCAUUACGAGUCUAGAAUGUAGCUGAAGAAUGGUUCAAGGUCUUCUAGAGUCUAUUUUACCGACAACUUUUUUAGCAAAUUGGAGACACAAGUGUAGAAGUUUACGGCCACAUUAUAUAACAUUGACUUCAAAACCAUCUUAGUCUCCUCUCUCUCGAUAUGGUUGCUAAACUCGAAUUUGCCUCAUUCACAAUCUUUUGACCGGCUCAACUCUUUAAUAAAAAUAUUGACGAGCUCAAUUAAAAUAUAAUUCGAGUUCUGCAUACUAGUUCGACUAUACUUUCAAAUUAUAAAUGACUUGUUAAGAAUAUAAUAGUAAGAACUUUUUUACUAUUGUGUUAAUCCUCUAUCACCCGUUUUACGUGCACCUUUUUUAAAAUUAUCAACUCUGUAGCCAUUCGAUUGAGAUUCUUAUUUCUCCAAUUGUGAUGGUGAUGGCCAACCCCACUCUUUGGCUAAUCGGCCAUAUCGCUAUGUCUAACACGCAAACCCUCUCUCCUCCUCUUCGUCUCCAACUUCAUCUCCACCAUUCCAGAUCUCCAUAAUACCUUCACGUCAUAGAUGAUAGAGAAAGAAAAAUGAGUUGUUGGUGUCUCCUUUUAACUAUUAAAGUCUCAUCUGUAAUAGGGAAGAUCACGAUAUCUCUUUAGCGGCGAUGGAGUAGCAGCUACGAGGUAGAGUAGCUAUUGAUAUUUCCUCUCAAUUACUGGUGGAGUAUCCCUUGUCUCUUUCCAUUCCAGUUUUGUCUGCUCACGUCGGGGUUGUGGUGAUGGCAUCGUUGAAGAUUUGUCAUUUGUUGUUAGGGUUUGGAUUUUACCCAUUUCAAUUACUUCCUGGAACUUCCAUUUGUAAACCAUGUAACUGUUGGAUUCAUAAGCAGACUCAACUUCAAUCGUAGAGCAAGCCUGGAGUUGAUUCAAAAACUACAACGUGGAAUCGAUCAUCUCAAUAUUCACCUCUGGUUUUACUCAUGGUUUUAAUUUUUCAUCUUUGUUGAUAAUUGUAUUUGGUUCCAAAUAAAUACCAUGCUAACGUUUUGAUUUAUGGAGAUAGGUUGAUAAUAUGGCCGUACUUGCUGUUAAACGAUUGUGAACAUUCACAAAGGAGCCAAAGUUGCCGAAUAAACUCAUUGUGAGUGUUUUUAUCUCCCUUACUGUUGUGCUGGCUGAUAUUUAUAUCAGUUUUGAUUCCAAUCUUAACAUUGUAACUCCUAUUGUUGUACGUGCAUAGUGAAACCCCAUGAUCCUUACUUUUUUUCAUGUAUUCAAAUAAGGUAUAAUUUUCAAAACUUUUCUAUAAGCUUAUUCUUAGUACAAUAUUUAACCAAAUCAUACAGUCAAAUGAAACUCUAUCUGUGACGAUUUAUUUGUGGAGAAUACUAAAUGUGCCCUUUAUUGUGCUAUCGUGGGAACUUAAUACAAGUGAUAACCUUUCAUUUGAUCCCGAAUUGCGUUGAAAAUUGGUAAAGCUUUAGGCUCUGGUUAGCAGGAAAAAGCCUUUUGGAAUGGGAUGUUGGAGAGUGAUGAUUCUGGAACACUAGAAUUGAGGAUCUUUGUCUCGAAUUCACUCUUUUGCUCUAAUUUCUGUGCAUGUUAAUUAAUCUAUCUGAUAACCUUUGCAGACAAUUGUUCAGUGUUGCUGGUAAGAUAUGUACAUUUGUCCAACAGAAGGAAACUAACGAGCACAAGCUGCUUGCCGAAUUCGAGAUUAAUUUCGAUAUUUCUGCAAUCUUUCUUUCUUCUUUUCCCAAGUUUUUGACAUCCCGUUGAUUGUUAUAAAUAUGAAUAGUUUAGCUGCAUUUUUCAUCCACAUCAUGAUUUUGCUGCUUGCUUAUCUCUGUUGAUUCAUAUGAUUCGUAUUAGCCAUUGUAUUUCAUGUUUCAAUGUGUAGAUUGAUUAUUCAAGGAAGAUUGUUUCUGUCAAGGCAAUAGCACGGGCUAUUUCUAGUGAUUGAUAAUGGUUGAUGUAUUAGAGUAUAGCCGAGCUAGUAUGUCAGAUGGCUAUCAAGCCACUGACCCUCUCAGCCCGAUUAGGAGCGCAAGUUGGCUAACCGGCCACGCUAUAGCUUGCUCUGUUGCUCAUCAUGUAGCAUCUCGAACGAGUUUUUUUGUCCGAACGAACACCGAACAGCUGGCGAGCUGCAGCAAAACUACCAAAGACUUUUCAGCGGUCGGUGAAAUUUCUUCGAUUGAGAGAAGUGACUUAAAGUUAAAGUGAUUAAAUCAUUUAAACGGGUUAAACUAGUCAAAAAGAUUAAACGUGUGGAGUGGAGCAGCUAUGGGCUUGUUCUUGUAAAGCCAUUGACGAGUUUAUCUUUAUACAUGUUGAGAAGGGUGAUGAAAGAGAUGGAGAAGUAAAUUAAUGGAUUCCAGAGUGAUGCCAUUGUUCUUCCUCAUAGUAGUAGUUCUAUCAGUCUCCCCUGUUUUUUCAAACUUUACUGUACGAAUCUAUCAAUCACGUUCUGACACCGACACGGCACUCCUCAACGACAGCAGAGGAGAAACUCUGGUCUCUAAGGACGGAACUUUCGAGCUGGGUUUCUUCUCACCAAACAGAUCCAACCGGAGAUACCUCGGUGUAUGGUACCGGAAGCGGUCGUCUACGGUUGUCUGGGUCGCGAAUCGGGACCAUGGACUGCAAGAUAAAACAGGGUACCUCUGUUUAAAUUUUCAAAUAGGCCUCCAAAUCCUGGACGGAAGCCGUAAAGCAUACUGGUCGUCCUCAAUUGAACUUGGACCCAUGGAAAGAUACGGCAGUCACAACCUGAUACUUUACGAUUCUGGUAAUUUGAUCCUGACUGGGGUAGAAGAACAGAGCAUUCUGUGGCAGAGCUUCGAUCAUCCAACCGACACGUUUCUAGCAGGGAUGAAAAUGGUUACAGGUUUGACUCUGACUUCCUGGACUAGCCCCCACGAUCCCUCGCCUGGAAAUUACCUGCUCCAGGUCGAUCAGCAACCUUUGGAUAAUCAGCAGUUGGUAAUUCUGAAUAACUCCAAACCUUUUUGGAAUUCUGGUGGUCAGAUACCUCUGUUCAUCUCUCAACUCCUCAUGACUUCGCCAACCAGCCGUCAAAUGUAUUGCCGCAGUUUACGCAUUAGUGAUCCGGCCUGCAACGCAGCGGCUCCCAAUGCCAGAUUUCUGAUGGCUUUUGACGGCAGGUAACAUCACUAGUUCUAUUUAAUUAUUUUUGUAUUGUUGUAUUUUUAAUGCAUACCACCAACAUAGAUAGACACAAUUUUAAACUUGAUAAAUUUUUAUAAGUUAGCUUUUGAGGUGAGAAGUUUAAUCACACUCGUAUCACCUAAGUUAGCUUUUGUCUAAUUUAACCUAAACUGUUGUUAGAUUAACGUUGGUUCUUUGUCCGUGGUUAGAAUAUUCUAACAACGGACGAGCAAUAAAAAACAAGGUUAGCAAUAGCGAUUUCUGUCCGCUAUUAGAUUGCCGCCGUUAAACUCUUAGGUUCUUGUAGUGUUAGUGAAAGGGAUUGAGUUGAGUGUUUGUUUGAUAGAAAAUGGAUUGAGUGUUGUUUAUAAGUAUGAGGGAAAGACUCGUCUAUUAACUUAAUUUUUUGAACGAGAAAGUUCAAUAAUAUCCAACAACCAUAAAUAGAAAUGAUUUUGUGUUUCUCUCACGGUAGAGUGAUCAAUGUAUCUAUUACCCAAAUAACUAAUUAUGUAUUAGUAGGAUUCAAGGUUUCCAGACGCAAAGCGAAAUGACCCCAUCGUGGGUCGAGCCUCAGGACAUCUGCGACCUGACAUCGGUGUGUGGGAGUUUUGGCAGCUGCAACAGUGGGUACCAUUGGCCAUGUAAGUGUCUUCCAGGGUUUGAACCGAGAUCAGAAGAUAAGUGGAAUGCAGGGGACUUCUCGGACGGGUGUACUAGUACGAGUAGUACAAACUUCCAGAAUUGUGACAAGAACAGAAGUAGUAUCUUCUUGAAUCUGACCGUGGCAAAAGUGCGGAGGCCGCCUACACGAGUGAAUCUGGAACUGGUGAAUGAACACAAUUGCAGCGAAUGGUGUCUAGGGCAAUGCACCUGCCAGGCAUAUUCGUUCAGUAGCGGGUGCAACAUUUGGACUGAUGAUGACUUACAGGGCAUCCAAGAGAUUGAUGGGCGUGUUGAUGAUGCGCCGGUUAGUCUCAACAUUCGAGCUCAUACUCCAAACACAGGUACGUAAAUGGUCACGACCACUCCCAAUAUAGGUACUAUACUUGCACUGUUGUCGAACAAGUCGAAAAUCAAUGAUUUAUCACUGGUUUACUUUGGAUGACUAUUUUGAUUUUGUAUGUGGUACUCUAGAAGAAGAAAUGACUAAGAAGGAUUGCAAACCAUGCGGGAUCAACACCAUUCCUUACCCGCUGAGCAUUGGACCAAACUGUGGCGAUCCGAUGUACUCGAGCUUCGUCUGUAAUGCUACCUCUGGACGACUUCUCUUCACAUCACACAACAUCAGAUACACGGUGACUAGAAUCGACAAACGUUCGCGGAAGUUCUUUGUUCAAGCCGGGAAAGAAAAUUGUGAAAAGAAGGCUAUUGGACUAAAUCAAUCGUUGCCGUUUAAGGUUCAUCAUGAUGUGUGUAAUGACGAUAUGGGUAACAUAAGUUUCGGACUUUUCCGCAAUGCGAAAUCAUUCUAUGAAAUGGCGAUUGUGUGGGAUUUGCCAUCUGAGCCACUCUGUGGCCCCAACGAUGACUGUAGCAACUGGCCGAGUUCGAGUUGCCGGAGUAAGGGCGGAGGAAAGAAGUGUCUUUGCGAUGGGAAUUCAAGAUGGGACGGCACUAACGCUAAUUGUAGCCAGAGUAAGUCUUACUUUCAUUUUGUUGAGUAACUUUUUUUAGUAAAAAAACAACCUGCAUGAAGUAAUAUUUUCAAGUUCGAUUCAGUAAUAUUUUGAAAAUAUUUAUAUCUCGGAUCUGCUACUUCCGCCCCUCUUGUAGUUGUUGGCCCCUCUACGUUAUCACCAAAGGAAAAAGAACGAUCAUUACGAAAUUCUAUCAUCUUCGGAUGCAUCGGAGGAAUGCUUCUGAUAUCCGCUUUCGCUUUCGUAAUACUAUACAUGAAGGGGAGAACGGUCGGUAAAAAAGGUAUAGAAAAUAGCAUAAUUAAGCUCACAAUAUUACUAUUUAACAGCUUAAAUUUUGGAUUAUAAAAGUUAUAACUUGUUAUUUGUUUAAUCUUAAACAGGAAGAAAUUUUGAAGAGAAUUUAGCAUUGAGGAUGUACGAUAGUGAGAAGCGGGUGAAAGAGUUCAUAAACUCUGGCCAUGAGUUUGGUGAAGAUCAACGUCCCAUUCUUUGAUUUGGACUGCAUUUUAGCUGCCACUGACUUCUUCUCCGUUGACAACAAGCUCGGACAGGGUGGUUUCGGCCCUGUUUACAAGGUCAGAUCGCUCAUAUAUCCUUAUAUGUAAUUCGGCCUGGGACGGGGGAUUCGUGAGAAAAAUAAUUAGUGUUACACAUUUGUCAACAGGGCAAGUUUCCAGGAGGCCAGGAGAUUGCAGUGAAGAGGCUGUCGAGCGCUUCGGCGCAAGGGUUAGAAGAGUUCAAAAACGAGGUCGUUUUGAUUGCGAAGCUACAACACAAGAAUCUCGUCAGGCUGUUAGGAUACUGUGUCGAAGGGAAUGAGAAGAUGCUGCUCUACGAAUACAUGCCUAACAAGAGCCUCGACUUCUUCAUCUUUGGUUAGUAUGUACUCCCGCAUUCUCCAUACUGUUCUUCCUAUCCGCUAUCGUCCAUAAUUUUUAUUUCGUUGAUGUUUAGACCGAAACCGGUGCGUGUUACUGGAUUGGAAGAUGAGGUUCAACAUUAUAAUGGGGAUUGCUCGAGGACUGCUUUACCUCCACCAUGAUUCGAGGCUGACAAUCAUUCAUAGAGACAUGAAAACCAGCAACAUCCUUCUCGACGAGGAAAUGAACCCUCGAAUUUCGGACUUUGGCACUGCGAGGAUAAUGGGAAGGCAGGAAACAGAGGCCAACACUGUCAAAGUAGUUGGAACUUAGUAAG
Molecule: long non-coding RNA, 7051 nt
Filed under: Linum usitatissimum (flax)
Lineage: Eukaryota; Viridiplantae; Streptophyta; Magnoliopsida; Malpighiales; Linaceae
Description: long non-coding RNA (LUSI_LNC008014)
Source: RNAcentral